GGGUUGUGAGGUUAAGCGACUAAGCGUACACGGUGGAUGCCCUGGCAGUCAGAGGCGAUGAAGGACGUGCUAAUCUGCGAUAAGCGCCGGUAAGGUGAUAUGAACCGUUAUAACCGGCGAUUUCCGAAUGGGGAAACCCAGUGUGACUCGUCACACUAUCAUUAACUGAAUCCAUAGGUUAAUGAGGCGAACCGGGGGAACUGAAACAUCUAAGUACCCCGAGGAAAAGAAAUCAACCGAGAUUCCCCCAGUAGCGGCGAGCGAACGGGGAGGAGCCCAGAGCCUGAAUCAGCAUGUGUGUUAGUGGAAGCGUCUGGAAAGGCGCGCGAUACAGGGUGACAGCCCCGUACACAAAAGCGCAUGUGCUGUGAGCUCGAUGAGUAGGGCGGGACACGUGGUAUCCUGUCUGAAUAUGGGGGGACCAUCCUCCAAGGCUAAAUACUCCUGACUGACCGAUAGUGAACCAGUACCGUGAGGGAAAGGCGAAAAGAACCCCGGCGAGGGGAGUGAAAAAGAACCUGAAACCGUGUACGUACAAGCAGUGGGAGCACAGGUUUACCUGUGUGACUGCGUACCUUUUGUAUAAUGGGUCAGCGACUUAUAUUCUGUAGCAAGGUUAACCGAAUAGGGGAGCCGGAGGGAAACCGAGUCUUAAUUGGGCGUUAAGUUGCAGGGUAUAGACCCGAAACCCGGUGAUCUAGCCAUGGGCAGGUUGAAGGUUGGGUAACACUAACUGGAGGACCGAACCGACUAAUGUUGAAAAAUUAGCGGAUGACCUGUGGCUGGGGGUGAAAGGCCAAUCAAACCGGGAGAUAGCUGGUUCUCCCCGAAAGCUAUUUAGGUAGCGCCUCGUGAAUUCAUCUCCGGGGGUAGAGCACUGUUUCGGCUAGGGGGCCAUCCCGGCUUACCAACCCGAUGCAAACUGCGAAUACCGGAGAAUGUUAUCACGGGAGACACACGGCGGGUGCUAACGUCCGUCGUGAAGAGGGAAACAACCCAGACCGCCAGCUAAGGUCCCAAAGUCAUGGUUAAGUGGGAAACGAUGUGGGAAGGCCCAGACAGCCAGGAUGUUGGCUUAGAAGCAGCCAUCAUUUAAAGAAAGCGUAAUAGCUCACUGGUCGAGUCGGCCUGCGCGGAAGAUGUAACGGGGCUAAACCAUGCACCGAAGCUGCGGCAGCGACACUGUGUGUUGUUGGGUAGGGGAGCGUUCUGUAAGCCUGCGAAGGUGGCCUGUGAGGGUUGCUGGAGGUAUCAGAAGUGCGAAUGCUGACAUAAGUAACGAUAAAGCGGGUGAAAAGCCCGCUCGCCGGAAGACCAAGGGUUCCUGUCCAACGUUAAUCGGGGCAGGGUGAGUCGACCCCUAAGGCGAGGCCGAAAGGCGUAGUCGAUGGGAAACGGGUUAAUAUUCCCGUACUUGGUGUUACUGCGAAGGGGGGACGGAGAAGGCUAUGUUGGCCGGGCGACGGUUGUCCCGGUUUAAGCGUGUAGGUGUGUGUUCCAGGUAAAUCCGGUUCACUUUAACACUGAGGCGUGACGACGAGGCACUACGGUGCUGAAGCAACAAAUGCCCUGCUUCCAGGAAAAGCCUCUAAGCAUCAGGUAACAUCAAAUCGUACCCCAAACCGACACAGGUGGUCAGGUAGAGAAUACCAAGGCGCUUGAGAGAACUCGGGUGAAGGAACUAGGCAAAAUGGUGCCGUAACUUCGGGAGAAGGCACGCUGACACGUAGGUGAAGUGAUUUACUCAUGGAGCUGAAGUCAGUCGAAGAUACCAGCUGGCUGCAACUGUUUAUUAAAAACACAGCACUGUGCAAACACGAAAGUGGACGUAUACGGUGUGACGCCUGCCCGGUGCCGGAAGGUUAAUUGAUGGGGUCAGCGCAAGCGAAGCUCCUGAUCGAAGCCCCGGUAAACGGCGGCCGUAACUAUAACGGUCCUAAGGUAGCGAAAUUCCUUGUCGGGUAAGUUCCGACCUGCACGAAUGGCGUAAUGAUGGCCAGGCUGUCUCCACCCGAGACUCAGUGAAAUUGAACUCGCUGUGAAGAUGCAGUGUACCCGCGGCAAGACGGAAAGACCCCGUGAACCUUUACUAUAGCUUGACACUGAACAUUGAGCCUUGAUGUGUAGGAUAGGUGGGAGGCUUUGAAGUGUGGACGCCAGUCUGCAUGGAGCCGACCUUGAAAUACCACCCUUUAAUGUUUGAUGUUCUAACGUGGACCCGUAAUCCGGGUUGCGGACAGUGUCUGGUGGGUAGUUUGACUGGGGCGGUCUCCUCCUAAAGAGUAACGGAGGAGCACGAAGGUUGGCUAAUCCUGGUCGGACAUCAGGAGGUUAGUGCAAUGGCAUAAGCCAGCUUGACUGCGAGCGUGACGGCGCGAGCAGGUGCGAAAGCAGGUCAUAGUGAUCCGGUGGUUCUGAAUGGAAGGGCCAUCGCUCAACGGAUAAAAGGUACUCCGGGGAUAACAGGCUGAUACCGCCCAAGAGUUCAUAUCGACGGCGGUGUUUGGCACCUCGAUGUCGGCUCAUCACAUCCUGGGGCUGAAGUAGGUCCCAAGGGUAUGGCUGUUCGCCAUUUAAAGUGGUACGCGAGCUGGGUUUAGAACGUCGUGAGACAGUUCGGUCCCUAUCUGCCGUGGGCGCUGGAGAACUGAGGGGGGCUGCUCCUAGUACGAGAGGACCGGAGUGGACGCAUCACUGGUGUUCGGGUUGUCAUGCCAAUGGCACUGCCCGGUAGCUAAAUGCGGAAGAGAUAAGUGCUGAAAGCAUCUAAGCACGAAACUUGCCCCGAGAUGAGUUCUCCCUGAGACUUAAAGUCUCCUGAAGGAACGUUGAAGACGACGACGUUGAUAGGCCGGGUGUGUAAGCGCAGCGAUGCGUUGAGCUAACCGGUACUAAUGAACCGUGAGGCUUAACCUUACAACGCCGAAG
RNAcentral lists this ribosomal RNA (2928 nucleotides) under Salmonella enterica subsp. enterica serovar Indiana. RNAcentral's name for it is "23S ribosomal RNA". It matches the Rfam family "Bacterial large subunit ribosomal RNA". Lineage: Bacteria; Pseudomonadati; Pseudomonadota; Gammaproteobacteria; Enterobacterales; Enterobacteriaceae. The record is from RNAcentral.